AUUGAACGCUGGCGGCAGGCCUAACACAUGCAAGUCGAGCGGAAGAAGGGAGCUUGCUCCUGGAUUCAGCGGCGGACGGGUGAGUAAUGCCUAGGAAUCUGCCCGGUAGUGGGGGAUAACGUCCGGAAACGGGCGCUAAUACCGCAUACGUCCUGAGGGAGAAAGUGGGGGAUCUUCGGACCUCACGCUAUCAGAUGAGCCUAGGUCGGAUUAGCUAGUUGGUGGGGUAAAGGCCUACCAAGGCGACGAUCCGUAACUGGUCUGAGAGGAUGAUCAGUCACACUGGAACUGAGACACGGUCCAGACUCCUACGGGAGGCAGCAGUGGGGAAUAUUGGGCAAUGGGCGAAAGCCUGAUCCAGCCAUGCCGCGUGUGUGAAGAAGGUCUUCGGAUUGUAAAGCUCUUUAAGUUGGGAGGAAGGGCUGUAGGUUGAUACCUUGCUGUUUUGACGUUACCAACAGAAUAAGCACCGGCUAACUUCGUG
Molecule: ribosomal RNA, 484 nt
Filed under: uncultured bacterium
Lineage: Bacteria
Description: partial 16S ribosomal RNA
Rfam family: Bacterial small subunit ribosomal RNA
Source: RNAcentral